Benincasa hispida (wax gourd) is the source of this 1029-nucleotide long non-coding RNA. RefSeq lists it as uncharacterized. Lineage: Eukaryota; Viridiplantae; Streptophyta; Magnoliopsida; Cucurbitales; Cucurbitaceae. The record is from RefSeq and is a predicted model, not a curated record.
CUCGACACUUGAUGCAUGGUGUAUGACGACACACGACUCAUGCUAUAUCCAACAUAUUUGAUCUCGUCUUCUGAAUCUAUAUCCCUAAACGACGACACUUCUUGACUUGAAAUUCUCUUUUGAUUCUCUCUACAUCAGUAUGGCUAGAAAAUUCAAUAUUCCUCCUCAGGAUCGUUUCCUAGACCAAGCGACUAACCUAUCCUCUUAUAUUGGGACGACUAACAAGUUAGUGAAAGAGAAGCUUACCCCUACUCAGCUUGCCCUCUUCAAGAAGACGGUAUUUGAAUGUUUUGUAGAUAUGGACAUUAUCUUCAACAAACCAUUAACCAUUACAUUCUAUUAAGGGAGGUUGAAGACGAUAGAAAGGAUGCAACGAUGUUCGAUUUGAAUGGUACGAUUGUAACAUUCUCCAAAGAAAAAUUCAUGUUGGUGACGGGAUUGUGGCAGUUACCUAAUCCAGUAGUUGUAGGAGGGUUGAAGCACUUGGAUUACUGUGUAGUAGGUACUUCAGGAAUGAUUUUGCGGGUGACAUUCACAUUAGUACCUUAGAGUCAGUGUACAAGGAGAUGCAGUUUGAGAAUGACAUGGACGCUGUGAAGAUGACAUUAGUCUAUUACACUGAAUUGGCUAUGAUAGGGAGGGAGAAGAUGAGGGCCAAUAUCGACAAAACCUUAUUAAGUGAUGUGGAGGAUUUGGAUUAGUUUAACAAUGUCAAUUGGGGAAAUGUGCUAUGGAAGAAGAUGUUACUUGGACUACAAGAGGAUUGAAUGGUAAGGCUGAGAACUACAAGAAAACGUCCAAGAACAAUAAGAGCUACAUUGUCAAGUACAACCUACUAGGGUUUUCUCAUGCAUUCCAGGUAUGGGCAUACGAGAUCAUAUCAACGGUUGCUGGAAAGAUUGCAACCUGACUGAAUAAAUAUAACCUAUAGUUUCUAUUAUCUCACUAAUGACAUUUAGUAUAAAUCCUAUUUAUUUGGUUAAAUUCAUAUAAUUAAUAUGUGAAUCAUAUUCAAAUAUUUAUUUCCUC